UCGCCGCUAAAAGUCUUAAUCCGGGACAAGGGAUUUAGAAUUGAUCUGGACCGCUCUUUACUGAACUAAUCGAAGGGCUAGGGUUUAUCCCUACAUAAAACAUGUGUAAAAAGGCUCACAUCUGUUUUGGCGGCAUUUUUCCCUCUUCCCUCCAAGAUGAAAUCUUCACACACCCCUGGAGGACAACCUUGAAUCUGCCGGAGAGCCUCACCACCUUCAAUCUGCCAUAGCACCUCCAUCUCGUCUUGCUGAUUGUCCGACGCCCUUUGAAAACGGAAUACUUUGACGAAUUGUUUGAAGACCCGAGAUUUAUGGAACGACUCUACAAAGCUAUGGAUAAGAAGGAAUCAAGAAAAGUCAACGAAAAUGACACGGACGAGGAGGGAGAAUGAUGUAUUUUGUAUUGAACUUAGGGGUUUCAAAACUUUAACUUAAUCAAACAAAAUACUUUUGUUGUCGUUUUAUGUUUAAAACUUGGUUUGUUUGAAGAAUUGUUUGAAUUAUUGUUUGCGUAUGGAAAAUUAAAAGAAACAGCAGGUUUCAGUUA
Long non-coding RNA from Helianthus annuus (common sunflower), 547 nucleotides. RefSeq lists it as uncharacterized. NCBI's taxonomy places the organism in Eukaryota, Viridiplantae, Streptophyta, Magnoliopsida, Asterales, Asteraceae. The record is from RefSeq and is a predicted model, not a curated record. The transcript has 2 exons.